AUUGCUUAUAUACUGUUAUAAAAGUAGAAAAACAAAUUUAAUCUCUGUUCUUAAUACGUGGGCCAUCGGCCCACAUGAUAAGUCAGUAUUUUUUUAGGAGGAGAGCCCACCACAUUGGGGCCCUCGCGCGUCGCCCGUGCAUUACACUACUGCUCGGGCCUGGCUGGCGCACCCCAC
RNAcentral lists this small nuclear RNA (177 nucleotides) under Corchorus olitorius. RNAcentral's name for it is "U2 spliceosomal RNA". It matches the Rfam family "U2 spliceosomal RNA". From Rfam's summary of the family: U2 is a small nuclear RNA (snRNA) component of the spliceosome (involved in pre-mRNA splicing). Complementary binding between U2 snRNA (in an area lying towards the 5' end but 3' to hairpin I) and the branchpoint sequence (BPS) of the intron results the bulging out of an unpaired adenosine, on the BPS, which initiates a nucleophilic attack at the intronic 5' splice site, thus starting the first of two transesterification reactions that mediate splicing. Lineage: Eukaryota; Viridiplantae; Streptophyta; Magnoliopsida; Malvales; Malvaceae. The record is from Rfam by way of RNAcentral.